Aethina tumida (small hive beetle) is the source of this 365-nucleotide RNA transcript. It is a transcript of the gene named neuropeptide-like 3, with no coding region annotated. NCBI's taxonomy places the organism in Eukaryota, Metazoa, Arthropoda, Insecta, Coleoptera, Nitidulidae. The transcript has 2 exons. The record is from RefSeq and is a predicted model, not a curated record.
UUUUAACAUCUUCAGUUGUACCUUUUCUCAGUACAUCACGAUAUUUUCAACAUGUUCAAAUUCGUAAUCUUUGUAGCUCUCGUCUCUUCGGCGUUUGCAGUUCCAGCUCCUGAACCCAAACCAGCCCCCAAACCUGGUCUAAUUGCUACUUCUUACACAGCUCCAGUUGUUGCGUCUGCUCCACUUACAUACACUGCACCGCUAGCUUACAACAGCCUUCGUUAUUCCACAUAUUAUGCUCCUUCAGUGUACUCUUAUUCCCCAUAUUCUUCAUACAUUGUUUAAACAAAAUAAAAUAAUCAGCAACUAUGUUUUUUUUUUAAUUUACAUGCUAUAAAAAAAAUUAGCCCUUAAACAAAUUUUAA